Molecule: ribosomal RNA, 590 nt
Filed under: uncultured bacterium
Lineage: Bacteria
Description: bacterial SSU rRNA
Rfam family: Bacterial small subunit ribosomal RNA
Source: RNAcentral
UCCUACGGGAGGCAGCAGUAGGGAAUCUUCCGCAAUGGACGAAAGUCUGACGGAGCAACGCCGCGUGAGUGAUGAAGGCUUUCGGGUCGUAAAACUCUGUUGUUAGGGAAGAACAAGUGCUAGUUGAAUAAGCUGGCACCUUGACGGUACCUAACCAGAAAGCCACGGCUAACUACGUGCCAGCAGCCGCGGUAAUACGUAGGUGGCAAGCGUUAUCCGGAAUUAUUGGGCGUAAAGCGCGCGCAGGUGGUUUCUUAAGUCUGAUGUGAAAGCCCACGGCUCAACCGUGGAGGGUCAUUGGAAACUGGGAGACUUGAGUGCAGAAGAGGAAAGUGGAAUUCCAUGUGUAGCGGUGAAAUGCGUAGAUAUAUGGAGGAACACCGGUGGCGAAAGCGGCUCUCUGGACUGUAACUGACACUGAGGCUCGAAAGCGUGGGUAGCAAACAGGAUUAGAUACCCUGGUAGUCCACGCCGUAAACGAUGAGUGCUAGUUGUUUGGGGCUAUCCAGCCCUAAGUGACGCAGCAAACGCAUUAAGCACUCCGCCUGGGGAGUACGACCGCAAGGUUGAAACUCAAAGGAAUUGACGGA